RNAcentral lists this ribosomal RNA (252 nucleotides) under uncultured bacterium. Its description in RNAcentral is "partial 16S ribosomal RNA". It matches the Rfam family "Bacterial small subunit ribosomal RNA", at positions 524 to 776 of the family's 1533-position model. The record is from RNAcentral.
UACGUAGGGUGCAAGCGUUGUCCGGAAUUACUGGGCGUAAAGCGUGCGCAGGCGGUUAUGCAAGACAGAUGUGAAAUCCCCGGGCUCAACCUGGGAACUGCAUUUGUGACUGCAUAGCUAGAGUACGGUAGAGGGGAUGGAAUUCCGCGUGUAGCAGUGAAAUGCGUAGAUAUGCGGAGGAACACCGAUGGCGAAGGCAAUCCCCGUGGACCUGUACUGACGCUCAUGCACGAAAGCGUGGGGACAAACAGG